This 122-nucleotide ribosomal RNA is filed under the name Chinchilla lanigera (long-tailed chinchilla). Lineage: Eukaryota; Metazoa; Chordata; Mammalia; Rodentia; Chinchillidae. The record is from RNAcentral.
GUCCACGGCCGCACCACCCCGAACACGCCCGAUCUCGGCUGAUCUCGGAAGCUAAGCAUGGUCGGACCUGGCUAGUACUUGGAUGGGAGAGCCCAUGCUUAGCACACUCAGAGCUCUGGAUU